This 253-nucleotide ribosomal RNA is filed under the name uncultured bacterium. RNAcentral describes it as "partial 16S ribosomal RNA". It matches the Rfam family "Archaeal small subunit ribosomal RNA", at positions 474 to 727 of the family's 1478-position model. The record is from RNAcentral.
UACCCGCAGCACAAGUGGUGGUCAUUAUUAUUGGGCCUAAAGCGUCCGUAGCUGGCCUGUUAGAUGCCUGGGUAAAUCGAUGCGCUCAACGUAUCGAACUCCGGGUAGACCGGCAGGCUUGGGACCGGGAGAGGCGUGAGCUACUCGAGGGGUAGGGGUAAAGUCCUGUAAUCCUUCGGGGAGGACCAGUGGCGAAGGCGUCACGCUAGAACGGCUCCGACAGUGAGGGACGAAGCCCUGGGGCGCAAACCGG